This 253-nucleotide ribosomal RNA is filed under the name uncultured bacterium. RNAcentral describes it as "partial 16S ribosomal RNA". It matches the Rfam family "Bacterial small subunit ribosomal RNA", at positions 524 to 776 of the family's 1533-position model. The record is from RNAcentral.
UACGUAGGUGGCAAGCGUUGUCCGGAUUUACUGGGCGUAAAGAGCGCGCAGGCGGUCGUUCAAGUCGCGUGUGAAAGCCCCCGGCUCAACUGGGGAGGGUCACGCGAUACUGAUCGACUCGAAGGCAGGAGAGGGUAGUGGAAUUCCCGGUGUAGUGGUGAAAUGCGUAGAUAUCAGGAAGAACACCCGUGGCGAAGGCGGCUCUCUGGGACGGUACUGACGCUGAGACGCGAAAGCGUGGGGAGCGAACAGG